Molecule: long non-coding RNA, 9145 nt
Filed under: Heterocephalus glaber (naked mole-rat)
Lineage: Eukaryota; Metazoa; Chordata; Mammalia; Rodentia; Bathyergidae
Description: lncRNA (ENSHGLG00100033218.1)
Source: RNAcentral
CAAAACUGAAAAGGAACAGGGGCAGAAAAUAGCACACUCUUACUCUACGCAACUGUUGUUUUCUCAUGAUCAUCAGGAAAUUUACUGGGAUAAUUCCAAGCAUUGUAUCUAAGAGGAGCUGCUUCUGAGAUGAAGAAAACUCCCAAUGUGAAGUUCAAACAAAGAACAGAAUGAAAUACAUAUGAUACAUUAUUAUAACUGAAGAAGUGCAAGAGUUGGGAAGACACAGUCAGUUUUCCCUAUGAAAACCUACACCGUGCCAUGCCUUGCCCUAUUUUGGACUCUCACAGAAGCAAAUCCUCAGGAUUAUGCUCAACUGCUCAGAACAGGUGUUUCCUACAAGGCCACAAGGGUAUCUUCAACGAUUAUACAGAGGAAAUUUUAUUCACCUAUAAAGGCAUUUGAACUGGGCAAACAGGACGACAGCAGCAGUGAGCAUGAGAUCAUUGCAGCCCUGUAGCAAACUGGCAUCCUGCCUUUUCACCACUUUGGUUCGGGAGACAAACGUGUGCAAUCCUCAUUUCUAAAGUCAGCACAGCCUGGAAGGAUUCCUGGUCUCUCCCACCUUCUACCAUUCUGCUGCCAGUGACGGCAAGGAUUGGUGCAGUUUCUGCGCAGUGCUUUGUGCCUGGAAUACCGAGAAGGAAGAAAAAGAAGACAAGCUUUCUGGUUCUUCUCUUCUAAGAAAUAACAGGAGCCCUGAAGAAAAAAAAAUCUGAGUUUGUCUUACUACAUGCAAGAGUUCUGAAAGAGAGAGAGAAAGACGCUCCUGCUCAAAAACAAAAAAAACAAAAACAAACAAAAAUCCAAUCCAAAAAACAAACAAACAAAAAAAAGCAAACAUUGGCUUACAUAACUGCAGAGACAUCGGGCUUUCUAAAGCAGCUUUUGAAGGCAACAUAACCAAAUGAGCCUUCUUUAUUUUUACUAUUUCAAAAAAUAUGGCAUGAUUAGCAAUACAUUGCACUUGGUGAAAUCGCACCUUUCAUAUCAGGGAAAAACUUAAAAUGGAUAUGAGAAGUGAAGAAAGUGAUCAUAGGAGAAAAUCAUCUAAGGAUUCUUUGGAUCAAUAUCAUUCUGUUUAGAAGUUCUAAACACAUCAGUAUUCCAGUGAAGCUACAAAAGACUUGUAGAGGUGUCUGAGGAUUUGUGAGCAUCAAGUGAAUGUUCUAUGGAAUCAUCUUUCCUUGCCUUUGAAUUACCUUUCCCUAGGCCAUGAGUCAACAUCCAUAUUUUAUUCUUCCAAAUUGACUGUAAGCACCUAUGAGGGUAGUGCCCUCAUCUGUCUGAUUUAGUGCAAUACUCUCAGUGAGGACACAGAACUGGUGAAGAUGAGGCGCUUGAGGAUCACUGUAGAGUGAAUGAGUGAAUGAAUAAAGGACAAAUUCCUUCAAUAAAUCUCAAAAGCGUAUGAUGUGCCAGGCACUGUUACAGGGACAGGAAUAUGGUGAUGAACAAAUAUGAAGAUGCUCAAGAAAGCCCUCUUGCCCAUUUCCCAUGUGAAGUUGAAUAAGAAGAUGGCUGUCUAUGAAGAAGCAGGCUCUCUCCAGGUAGUGAAUCUACUGAAAACUUGAUUUUUGGAAUUCUCAUCCUACCAAACUCGGAGAAAUAAAUUUCUAUUUUUUUCUGUUGUCUUUAAGCCAUCUAGUCUAUGAUGUCUUGGGGAAACAGCAUGAAAAAACUAAAACUGAAGUAAACUAGAGAAAUGGAGCUUUAGAGAAGUAUACUCAUGAACAAAGCUCUGAAGCUUUAGUCAACCCAACUCUCCAUUUGCCCUCCUGAACACCAAAAAACAAGAUUCCAUCCUGUGAUUCAUGCAGCAACAGCGUUCAAGUGAUGGCAAAAAUGAAAGUCACAGACAAGUCAGUAUGCGGUACACUGGGCUGAACAUACAGAGUUUAGUGUUUCUUUGGAGGAAUUGUGACAAUAACAUUUGUUCCCUCUGCCCUCCUUCCCCUCCAUUUCCUGUAAAAUCUACCUUUUCCUACUCUCACUUGCUCUCAUACAGUUUGUGUAGAACUGGCCUAUCCCUGGCUCAAAAGCAUGACCUAUUCUGGCCAGAGAGAGUGGGUCAUACCUCCCAGCAAUCUCAGGAAGAAUGGGAAACUUGGUAAAUUAGUAAUAGUAUUUUGAACUUUGAUGCAACCAUGAAUAAAUAUUCCAACUUUUUCCUUGACUAUGAGUAUGCUUCUUGUUUUGCUUGAACUAAUUGAAAUUAAAUAUUAUUUUCAACUGGAAGAGUCCCAAUUGAUAUUUAUUCUAAUUUCCUAAAAUUCAGAUCCAGUAGGUCAGCUUAAAAAUUUCUAUGACUCACCAUUUCCUAUAAAGUCCAAAUCUUUACCUAAUUAUGAGUAACAUAUAGGUUUAACUGUAAUGCAGUUAAUAUGUUCUCUCUCACUGGUUUAUUGAUUAUAGUGUUAGCCAAGAGCGGACAAGGUAGAAUAUUUGAUCUAAUUAUCAUUCUUUUAUUAUCCUUAUCAAACAGACCUCGAGAAAGCAACAGACAUGCGCUUAGAACUUACAUGGCUUUUGGCAGAUUUUCUUUCCCCUUUCAUGCAGUUGUUACAGAGGAUUUGGCAUGUACUUUGUUUAUUAUUGUAAAAGCAUAUUAUUGACAGUGUAGAAAUUUUAGAGAAUACACCUAUUUUGUUUGUACUGAGAGAAAUUAUUGUAGAGAAGUGAAUCUUCAUGUUUUUCUUGGAUCAUUAAUGUUCACAUUAUCAGGGAAAUUGUUAGUGAUGCACAUUUUUGAACCCAACUUCAAACCAACUGAAUCAGGAAAUCUUUAGAUGGCACGCAGAAACCUGUAUUUUAACACAAUUAAAAUCAUCCCAUGAUACAUGAAAAAAUAUUUGAACCAUUAUGGGGCCUUGGGGAAACUAUGCCUCAUAUCCUUUUCUCUGACAUAAAUAAAAUGCUCAGUAAAUUUUAGAUAAUGCUAUAGCUGUUGAAGCAACAUUCUGAGAAACAUGCUUACUUGUAAUAGUCAAGCAAGGUUUAUUUUAAAUUAAGAACUUACCUCUAAAGUCACGUAAAGAUUGAAGUCAGAGAAUUGAAUGAGUGAUUAAAUUCAUACUGAAAAAUGAAAACAAUGGAUAGCUCUUAUAAAUCUUAGAGUAGUAACUUAAACCUAGUAUAACUUCAGUUGACAUAUAUAUAUAGAGAGAGAGAGAGAGAGAGAGUUUUAAGUGUAGUUUUGCAUUCACCAAAAUGCAGAAACAUGUACUAACUUUAGUUAAGAUAAUAUUUAAAUCUCUAUUAUUUUUAAACUGCUGUGUUUUCUUUUUACUGAAAGUUAUUUUUCAGUUCUAAGGGCUUAAUUCUUUUCUAGCCCCAAGGACUCAAAUGUUAACUUCAUGUUUAUAAAUAGAUGAGCCUGAGACAUCUCAUGUCUAGUAGCACGUAUUUUUGUUGGUGAAACAUUUUCUAAAAUUUGUAAGUAACUCAAAGUUUUUGCUCUUGAUGUACAGUAGCCCAAAAAAGGUACACCUUCUCUCUACUGUGGCCAUUGCCUUCUAGGAAGUUUAAAGUGUCCCAAGAGUUUUCUGGAUCUCUAUUUGCAUGCUGUUUGGAUGUAUAGGUUCAGAAUUUUGCUGGUUUUCCAUUUCAUACUCUAAUAUCAUAUAGACUGCACUUGCUCCUUUAUAGUUAUACCAUCAUAUAUCUCUAGACUUGAAAAUUCAGUUAUAUGUUGUAUGCAGGACAGUAUUUGCUUAUUAAAAAUAUUAAAUUCCAGGCACUAAUCUAGGCAUUAAGUUCAUAAUGAUUAUAUGAGUCACUGUGACCAUAAUGAUAAUAUCUAUAAACCAUAAUUUUCCUAUUAGGCAGAAACUGAACUUUAUUUUGUUUCUUUUUAUCUUCAUAGAGAUAUGGGAACAUGCAUAGGUGCACAAGAAAAACUUUUGGAUCAUUAAAGUACAUAGUAUAUUUUUGAGAGAUUUUGAGAAGCCUGAUUAGAGAAGGAAACAUGAAAAGUAUAGGCUUAGGAAGUGGAAGAUUAUUUGUGCUGCAGUGUGUUAUAAAAAGAACUUAGUAGAGGUGCUUGGUUUUUAGGUUAAAUAACAGAGAAAAUAAAUGUCACAGCAGUUACAGAUUGACUGAAAUUAUGUUUCAUACAGUGCACUCCUGCUUGACCUUGUAGAGACUUGUGGGAAGCAUCAAAAAGAGCACUGAAAUCAGGCCUGGAGAAACAUGUUUUGAAGCUUGGCUUUACCACUAUUAGCUGUUUGACUUUAGACAAAUUUAAGUUCAUGAAAUUCAUAUAAACUGGCUCCUUAGAUCUAUCAGGAUAUUGCAAACAUCACCAGAACAGGAUAUUUGAAAGAACUUCAAUACAUUUUUCUAAAUGUUCAAUGUUUUUCUAGCAGAAUAGGAUUGAAUUUGGAGGCAGGCACCUUGAGUUGAAAGACAGUGAUGAAAAUGUGAGUUUUUGGAAGAAGGGAAACCAUGUCCUAAAUUAUGAUCUGUAAGGACUGCCAUAAAAUUUUCUUACCAAAAUCUGGAGUGGGUGUAAAUGGUUUCGAGAAUAUGUAUCUUACAAACUGUGUCACUAUGAACAUGAGUGCACAUAUAUCAUAGCGGUGCAGUUUGUAAUAGCUAAAACUUGGAAACAGCCCAAUUGCCCAUCAAUUGGAGACUGGUAAAGAAAAUGUGUUUUUUCUUUUUUAAAUGGAGUAUUACUCAGCCAUAAAGAACAAGAAACUAGAGACAUUUAUAGCUAAAUGGAUGCACAUUGAGGUCAUCUUCUUAAGUGAAAUGAAUAGAACACACAAGUGUAAAUACUGAAUACUUUCUCUGGUGUGAGAAACUGAAAGUGUAAAUAAGAAUCAAAAUGUAUAAUAGAUAAUGUGAAAUAGGAAGCAAAGGUCCAAAGGGGGAGUGGGAGGUGUAGGAAAAAGGAAAAAAAGGGAAAGGAAUAAAUUUGAGAAAAAAAAAAAGGGAACAAAGUUUGUAAAUAGGGAGGGGGUGGAGGGGUUGAACAGAGGGCAGGAGAAUGGAGAAAAAAUAAGAACCAAAAUAUAUUAUGUAAAGGUAGAAAUUCCCAAUAAUGAAUGUCAGCAUAUUGUAUACCUAAAAUGUUCCAAUAAACUUAAUGAAAAAAGUAUAUGUAUCUUGAUCAUCAAAAGUCUCACUAUACACCUAUAAUUUAAACUGUUAUUGUAUGACACAAUUGAGAUAUAUUAAAUUUCUUUUAUUCUCAAAGACAGUACAGAAAACAAAAGGAAGUUUUAUUUCUCAUAAAACUUAUUUUCUCAUACUCUUCAUAAAAAGUAUAGUAUAUUUUCUGAACAGUGAUUUCCUGGGUUAUAGUUACUUGAUAUUUGUUUUUCUAGGCACAAGGAUAUUGUGAUUGGUUCUACAUUUAUGAAAGUAACAAACUAUGAACAUAGUAUAAUACAUUUUGCUUGAGUGGAAGCAGUAGUAUAAAUAUUUCACUAAAAUUAAAACAAGUAUUUUAGGUUGUAUUCUUAUUAGGUUGUUUUCUUAUUUAUAAAUAGACUUGAUUAUUAUUGAAUAUGUUUCUCAUUGGCAUUUUAAAUUUUAUUAUAUUAUAUGGUGAUGCACCAUAUAAAGAUAUUUUGGUCAAUGAUGGUUCACAGUGGUAUAUUCCAUAUGGCAUAGGUGUGUAAUAGACUAUAUCAUUUAGAUUUGUUCUCUCUAUGAUAUUUACACAACAAAAUUAUCUAGAACAUUUUUUCUUAGAAUUUAUCUAUAAUUAAGCAAUGCAUGAUACCAUUUAAUAUCAUAUAUAAUACAUUUUUAUUUUAUUACAUUUUAGAAAACAUAUUAGAUUGAAAAUCAGAAAACAUAGGAGGUGAUCUUUAAUUCACACAAUCUGUGUAUCAUAUCUUUAUCUUCCUUUCACCUCUUUCUCAGUAUAAUUAUGUAUUCUACUGUCUUACCCUCUAACUUAUGCCUAGGUCUUCCUCCAAUGAGUCAUGCAUUCACAAGCAUAUGGAGGGAGACAUUUAGUCUUAUUCUUUGAUAUCUUUAGCACAGGGACUAGAACAUUGUUGAUGCUUCAUAAAUAUCAAGGCAAAUACAUUCAUUUGAAUUGAAUAUUAGCCUUUGAUCAAUUCAAUAAAAACGGUGCAAAAUUAGUUAAGACUGCCAUCAAAUCUUUUGUAUUUCCUGUCAAAUUAAACAAUAAUUUGAUUCUCAGAGAUUCUUAGUACUUCAUUUACAAACAGAAAUCUGGGAAAUAAUAUGUCUAUUCUUAUAUUCUUCAAAAGAUAUGCUUUUCUUUCAGGGAAUGGAUAUACUAAGAAUAUUCAUAGAAGCUGAAUAUAAGUGACCAAUAUGAUAUAGCCCAAAGGUGUGUGCAAGUUGAAGGGCAGAUAGGAAGAGAUUAUGUCAAGGUAGUAGAUACUGUCUGUGAUAGUUGCUAGCAGAGACAAACACUACCUGAUGCCUUUUCACUAUCCACUUCCCAAGCCAUGCCAAUUAAGUAGAAAUGUGUCCAGCUGAAAACUUGUUUAGUAACCUUUGGUCCAAAUAGAAGUAGGCAUGUGACUCAAUUCUGACCAACAAUAAAAUUGGUGGAGGCUUCCAUGUAAUUUUUAUAGGGGAGAUAAACUUACUGGAAUGGCCUUUUAGUCCUUUUCCCUGCCUCCUGCAUGGAUGCCUGGAGGUGCAAUCAUUGCAAUCAUGAGGAUUAAAACCACAUUUUAUAGUUGGUUUCAGUAAGAGUAGAAAAGAAAUCUGGAUCAUAAGGACAUUCGGCUACAGUACUAAUCCUGAUCUUUCUAUCCAUGGACUUGUUACAUGAGACAAAUAAACCUUUUAUUUAUUUAAUGUACAGUUUGUUGGGCUUUCUCAAAACUAAACACAAUCCUCAUAUAUUUGCCCUUCUGGGAAAAAAGGUAGUACAUGACUUUCAAAAUCUAAUGAGAUUCAUGUAUGACUUAAACCACUCUACUGAAGCAGUUCCAUUUCAGUCCAUGGUGCAAGGCAGUUGCCCUGAAUAACAUAUAGUGUCUAAUAAUUUUGUUUCUUUGUUAGUUUUUCCUGAAGCCUAGGGUCAAAGAGCCCAGAAAAUUGUAAACAUAGAGAUGUAAUCUCUGUGCACAUUGGCUGAUAAAUGCUAUUAUGAUUUGUAUGCCUAGAUUUGGUAAAGAACGAAUAUUCAACAUCUCUACAUAAUAUUGCUUUAAUUAAAUUCUUUUCUCUCUGGCUGUCAUACAUGCCACACAGGCGCAAUCAACGAACAUUGACAAUUUGCUUAAAUCUUACUCUUUGUCCUAUUUGUAUAAUUUAUUGUGUCAGUGUUCCUCAAGUGGUGUGCUCCUGCAACUCAUCAUCUAGAAAUCCUUCCCAGAUGUGCUGAAAUUUUUCAUUAAUUUGUACAAGUAUUGUUUUGUAAUUAAAUACACACGCUUUUGACUGGAAGAGAAAACACCUCUCUUUAAUCCCAGAGAAUUAUUUGGCCUUGAGAAAAAUUGAUUCAUGCCCUUCCCACUUCAUCCUCCUUAUUCAGAUAGAUAUUCCUGAAGCAUUCGCUGCUUUAUAAAUUUACUUGGUCCAAAGAUGAAAAAGAAAAAUCCAUUACUUUAAAGAUUUCUGCAGGAUCUACCUAUAACUCACUUUUUAGUUUCCAAUUAAGAAUAACAUAACUCUAGAGUAGGCUUCAACCCUAAUUUUCCAAACUGGAAUACAAUUUCAAAGCAGGAAGUGACAAUCUCUGUAGUGGUACUUGUCCACAGAGGUGAUAUUUCUGGUUAUUGAAUUUCAAGACUAGAAACUAAGCUUACUAUCUUUUAGCUUGGUAACUGUAAAGAGAGGGUGAGGACUGCUCUGUAUAUUAAUAAAGACUAUCAUAAGCAGCUGAAGAAAUUGGCUUAGCUCUACUUCUUAGUGUCCAUGUUUGUUUGUUUGUUUUUUGGUAUGAAGCAUGGAAUAUAAAACUAAUACUGCAUUUACUACAUUCAUUUGCAGCUAGGUUCCUGAGUGACAUUGGGUUUGGCUGGUUUGAUAACCAGGGUCACAUUUAGAAGGGAAAUGUGAGGCAAAUACCACAUGGUUGACUGAUUCUAUUUAUUUCUAAUGACCUUUACUAGGCACACUUUGUAUAGAAAAUAAUGAGCAUAUUUUAAGUAUAUAGUUUAAUGAGUUCUGACUAAUUUAUUGAUCUAUUUAACCAAUAUCAAUAUCAAUGUGUAUAUUAAUUUCCUUACUCCAUAAUAAAACUUUGUGCUCCUUUCCAGACAACCCCCAAAUCCUGGACCCAGACAACUAUUGAUCUGCUUUGUAUUGCCAUAGAUCAUAUUUUCUUUUCUGAGAGAUUCAAUAAACAGAUUCUUAUAUUAAAUCAUCUUAACUCUGGCUUAUUCCCAUCACCAUGAUAUUUUGAAAUAUAUCAAUACUGUUUGUAUAGUAAGCAAAGAUUUAAGAUGGGCUCAAAAAAUCUUCACUCCUGGUAUAUGUACCUUUUACCUCUUAUCCAACCAAAGUUAAUUUAAAUGAUACUAUGAAAGGAUUUUCAAGGUAUAAUUAAAGUCCUUAAUAAGUUUGCUUUAAGUUAUGUGGAUUUUCCUAGGUGAGCCAGACCUAAGUAGGUGAGCCAUUAGAAAAAUUAGAGCUAUUCAAAGAACAGGAGAAAUUUUGUCACCAACUUUAAAAAGAUAACUUCCAUUUUGUGAUGAAGUCCAUAUGUCAAGUAGGCCUAGGCAGCUUCUAGGAGCUGAGAAUCACCCUAGUUUCAUGGCCAGCUAGCAACCUUCCCUAUAACCUCAGACCUAUAAACAUAAGAAACUGAAUUCUGUUAAAAACCAGUUAGAAAAACCUUGAGCUUUAAUUGAAAUUGAGGCUCUGACCAAUACCUUGAAUUUAACCUGAUGAGGCCUGAAGAGAGAACUCAAUUAUGUUCUUCCAGGUUUCUAUCCUACAGAACCAUGAUUUAAUAAAUGGACAAUAAUUGAAACUUAAUUGCUAACAAGUUGCUAUAAACUCUAGGAAUGUAGUUAAAUAAUUGACAUCCCUCAGCAACUGAGUAUUUUAUUUAUUAAAAAAUAAAUUACUAUAUGGGAGAGAUUACACAAGGCUGUGAAUACCAGGAAGGUGUGAUAUCUAGGGUUUGAUUUUAAAAGCUGUGUAAUUUUGUAGUGAUUUGUUAGGCACCAAUGCAAAAUGAAUAUACUGAAUGUCA